Molecule: ribosomal RNA, 93 nt
Filed under: Xanthomonas citri pv. citri
Lineage: Bacteria; Pseudomonadati; Pseudomonadota; Gammaproteobacteria; Lysobacterales; Lysobacteraceae
Description: partial 23S ribosomal RNA
Rfam family: Eukaryotic large subunit ribosomal RNA
Source: RNAcentral
CCAUCUAAGGCUAAAUAUGACCACAAGACCGAUAGCGAACAAGUACCGUGAGGGAAAGUUGAAAAGCACUCUGAAUAGAGAGUUAAAUAGUAC